RNAcentral lists this ribosomal RNA (1354 nucleotides) under Clostridium magnum DSM 2767. RNAcentral describes it as "bacterial LSU rRNA". It matches the Rfam family "Bacterial large subunit ribosomal RNA", at positions 1553 to 2925 of the family's 2925-position model. The record is from RNAcentral. Lineage: Bacteria; Bacillati; Bacillota; Clostridia; Eubacteriales; Clostridiaceae.
AUGUUGAGGUGUGAUGGGGAGCCCUUAUGGGCGAAGUAUCUGAUUCCACGCUGCCAAGAAAAGUCUCUAUGGAGGAUGUUGGCGCCCGUACCGCAAACCGACACAGGUAGGUGAGGAGAGAAUCCUAAGACCAGCGGAAGAAUUGUUGUCAAGGAACUCGGCAAAUUGACCCCGUAACUUCGGGAGAAGGGGUGCCUACGCAAGUAGGUCGCAGAGAAUAGGCCCAAGCAACUGUUUAGCAAAAACACAGGUCUCUGCUAAAGCGAAAGCUGAAGUAUAGGGGCUGACGCCUGCCCGGUGCUGGAAGGUUAAGGGGAAUACUUAGCGCAAGCGAAGGUAUGAACUUAAGCCCAGUAAACGGCGGCCGUAACUAUAACGGUCCUAAGGUAGCGAAAUUCCUUGUCGGGUAAGUUCCGACCCGCACGAAUGGCGUAAUGAUUUGGGCACUGUCUCGACAACAAAUCCGGCGAAAUUGUAUUGCGAGUGAAGAUGCUCGCUACCCGCGAUUGGACGGAAAGACCCCGUAGAGCUUUACUGUAGCUUAGCAUUGAAUUUCGGUAUUGUCUGUACAGGAUAGGUGGGAGACUUGGAAGCAAGGGCGUCAGCCUUUGUGGAGUCAACCUUGGGAUACCACCCUGACAGUACUGGGAUUCUAACCGGCGGCCAUGAAACUGGUCACGGGACAUUGUUAGGUGGGCAGUUUGACUGGGGCGGUCGCCUCCAAAAAAGUAACGGAGGCGCCCAAAGGUUCCCUCAGAACGGUUGGAAAUCGUUCGAAGAGUGCAAAGGCAGAAGGGAGCCUGACUGCGACACAAACAAGUGGAGCAGGGACGAAAGUCGGGCUUAGUGAUCCGGUGGUUCCUCGUGGGAGGCCAUCGCUCAACGGAUAAAAGCUACCUCGGGAUAACAGGCUGAUCUCCCCCAAGAGUCCACAUCGACGGGGAGGUUUGGCACCUCGAUGUCGGCUCGUCGCAUCCUGGGGCUGAAGUAGGUCCCAAGGGUUGGGCUGUUCGCCCAUUAAAGCGGCACGCGAGCUGGGUUCAGAACGUCGUGAGACAGUUCGGUCCCUAUCCGUCGCGGGCGUAGGAAAUUUGAGAGGAGCUGUCCUUAGUACGAGAGGACCGGGAUGGACUGACCUCUGGUGCACCAGUUGUUCCGCCAGGAGCACAGCUGGGUAGCUAUGUCAGGACGGGAUAAACGCUGAAAGCAUCUAAGCGUGAAGCCCACCUCAAGAUAAGAUUUCCCAUAGCAUAAGCUAGUAAGACCCCUUGAAGAACACAAGGUUGAUAGGUUAGAGGUGUAAGCAUGGUAACAUGUUCAGCUGACUAAUACUAAUAGGUCGAGGGCUUGACCA